CCCCCCCCCCCCCGUUUCCAUUCAGUUUCUGUCUAGUAUCCUGUCCACCCGCCUGCUGAGAUCCCUCUCUCCUUCAGCCUUCAUUGUAGGCUCCCGCGCUUCUGAUGAAUCAUUCCCUGCUUCUAUGAUACUGGUUAUAUACUGUAGACCUCGCAGAGUGAAAUCAUGUAAUCCACAAUCAGGUUUAGCAUUCAGACCGGUUUUGUGCAUUCCACCUUAAAUUGUUUUUGUUUUUUGUAUCAUUUUGUUGUUUUUUUAAAAUAAAUAAAGAUACCAUUAUGCACAUUGACAUACCCGUGUAUUCAAAACUCAUUCUGAAUACCUACUCCGAAUUAAGGACCUGAUAUCAUCUCCUGUUGCCCUGUUACAACACUUCAAAUUGUACUUAUGAUUCUGAAGAUUCAAUAAAAUGUCAUUUUUUUUUUUCUCAGAUUGUUGUUUGUGCUAUAUGUCUUGUGUGCAGCAGCAGAGCGGGACAGAUGUAAAGGAAGUUGUAAGGAGUAUGCACCUUGUGAACACAAUAUAAACUACAAUAAAAGGGAAUCACUAAAAGACCAGGACUCGAGAUGAGAUCAUAAUGCAGAACCACAGUAGAUAUUAGUGGUUCUGAUAGAAGUAUUCUAUUUCUUCUCUCUCGUGUUCAUGUAUUCAUUCAAUAUGUGAAUCACUUGAAGAACAAUAUUGGGGGGGGGGGGGGGAUAAUAUAGUGAGGCUGAUUUGAGAUUAUGCAAGAUUCAGUUGCCAGUUUAUUAGGUACACCGAGCUAAAACGUUUGCGGUACAAUGCAACAGCCCUGCAAUGAAUCAUACCUUCAUGAAAAUGCACGAUGUUCAGUUUUACAUGAAACUUAAUGGUCAUUUUGAAGGAUGUAGUUUGAGCUUCUACAAACCAAUGAAUACAGUACAUGAGGGGAAGAGUUAUUGCAGGACAUUAGUUUGAGCUUAAUAAACUGAGUUAGUUUUUUUAAAUGGCACUGUGUGCUGUGUGUGUAAAUUAGGUUGCUCUGUGAUGGCGUUAUAAGUAGAACGUGACAUCAGCUCCAUUGUCAUUGUUGACAAUGGAGGAAAUCACCAUCCAGCCAGUGGGGCAUUUUUACCCGGACGUUAGCCUGUCAGGUCAUACUUCCUGUUUGUGUAUCGCCCUUAACAAUGACACUUUUCGGCACCCAAACAAAACGUAAUUAUUACUGUUGUGGGUUUAUUAGGUUUGCAGCUUGUCGUGAAAAUCAAGCCUGAAAGCCCAAAACACGAGGUAAAAAAAUAAAACCCUCAUUCGCCGUAUCUUCUUUUCCUUAUUUUAGGCAGGGGGGCGGGGUUUCAUUUAUACAUCCACGAGCUGAUUCUCGCUUCCUCCGAACGCUUCCGAUCUCGGCCGAUCUCCUGCACCGGAGGCAGUGCUGCGUUUUAGCUGCGUGUCCUUCUCGCGUCCACAGCGUCCAUCUCUGACACUGUUUCCAUCAUGGUGGACGUUUUGAUGUUGAUGUUUUUCGCCAUCGUUGGCCUCGUCUUCCUCUCCUACAUCAUCUACCUGCUGUGAUGAUGAUGAUGAUGAUGAUGAUGAAGCGUCCUGCUCGGCCACACAAACGGUUGCUGCACAGGCGAUCACGGGAUGUGUGUGUUUUCCCCUGUCCUGCAUCCCUGGUUUCCAUCAUGGACAAUGGGAGAGGAGCCGGGUCAAGACACGAUGGGUUCCUCAUUCGGAGCUCUCCUGUAGGAGGGGCAGGGCAAUGCAGCUGAGAUAAACAACUGGACAAGAAGUGGAAGCCCCCACUUCUCCUCCUCCUUUAUUGGGUCAGGGUCCUCCUACAAAAUGUCACUGCUCCCACUUAUUUGCAAUCAGUCUAACCAGUGUAUUAUCUAUGCUACUGAAGGUUGUGCAUGCUUCUCUUUAAAGGAGGAGACAUGUUACCUCUGCACAAGUCCUAUACAUCCAUGGAUGCAGGACGGUCUCGUAGUGUUGAGCGUAAUACAAGGUGUAGAAUUUGCCUUUCUAGCAACACUGUGAGCUGAUUUUUUUUUUUUUUUGGCUCCGACUGUAACGUGUUAUGUUUAGUUUUGACCGUAUCAUCCUUACGAUUUUGUGGCCAACCCUCCUGUGUUUUUGCCUUGGUUGAGUCAGCCUUCACGUCAGUGUUACUUUAUUCACGUGCUGCCAAUAUGUUCUUCUCCUCACUACUAUCAAGAUUCUCUGUCAGGUUCAAGCCAAGGGGAAUGUUUCACUCAUAUGACUCAGUGUUCUGUACAUUAACCAUGUUUGUCUGUUUCUGUUUAUUACGUUGGCUGCAAAAUGACGUCUACGGGGAGCAAUGAUGUCAUUUCAGAAAUGCAUCAACCGUGUGCUCCUCUCAGUUUUACCACCAAACAUAUCUAUUAUGUGUCAUGUGGUAUCGAUGAUGUUAAGUUUACUGAUGCACUGGUGAUUUACUGAGGUUAAUGACAGUAUUUCACAUGACAUGUCUAAUAAAGAUGAUUUCGGUAAACCCA
Molecule: long non-coding RNA, 2483 nt
Organism: Anarrhichthys ocellatus (wolf-eel)
Lineage: Eukaryota; Metazoa; Chordata; Actinopteri; Perciformes; Anarhichadidae
Exons: 2
Source: RefSeq, a predicted model, not a curated record